This 1023-nucleotide long non-coding RNA is filed under the name Salmo salar (Atlantic salmon). Its description in RNAcentral is "lncRNA (ENSSSAG00000110013.1)". The record is from RNAcentral. Lineage: Eukaryota; Metazoa; Chordata; Actinopteri; Salmoniformes; Salmonidae.
GAAACAAAAGGACAUGUCCUAUGGGGACAUCUAUUGCACCCUUUUGGAACCCUUCUUUCUAAGAGUGUAGGCCUACGUACAAGUGCUGCAUGCCCCUGUACCUCGCGCGGGUGGGUAUGUGUGUGUUGGUGUGUGUAUGGGUGUGCCACCGUAGUGUGUGUGUGUGUGUGUGUGUGUGUGUGUGUGUGUGUGUGUGUGUGUGUGUGUGUGUGUGUGUGUGUGUGUGUGUGUGUGUGUGUGUGUGUGUGUGUGUGUGUGUGUGUGUCUCCAGUACAUGACUAGGGCCGAGCUCCCUGCCAUCCAGGACCUCUAUAUAAGGCGUGUGAACGGAGCGCCUGUGAUAUUGAUAAAAACUUCAGCUAGGGUUAGGAGCUAGGGUUAGGGUAAGGGUUAGGGUUAGGGUUAGGGUUAGGGUAAGGGUUAGGGUAAGGAGCUAGGGUUAGGUUUAGGGUUAGGGUAAGGAGCUAGGGUUAGGUUUAGGGUUAGGGUAAGGAGCUAGGGUUAGGUUUAGGGUUAGGGUAAGGAGCUAGGGUUAGGUUUAGGGUAAGGAGCUAGGGUUAGGUUUAGGGUAAGGAGCUAGGGUUAGGUUUAGGGUUAGGGUAAGGAGCUAGGGUUAGGUUUAGGGUUAGGAGCUAGGGUUAGGUUUAGGGUUAGGGUAAGGAGCUAGGGUUAGGUUUAGGGUUAGGGUAAGGAGCUAGGGUUAGGUUUAGGGUUAGGGUAAGGAGCUAGGGUUAGGUUUAGGGUUAGGGUAAGGAGCUAGGGUUAGGUUUAGGGUUAGGAGCUAGGGUUAGGUUUAGGGUUAGGGUAAGGAGCUAGGGUUAGGUUUAGGGUUAGGAGCUAGGGUUAGGUUUAGGGUUAGGGUAAGGAGCUAGGGUUAGGUUUAGGGUUAGGGUUAGGAGCUAGGGUUAGGUUUAGGGUUAGGGUAAGGAGCUAGGGUUAGGGUUAGGGUUAGGGUUACCUUGUUGUGUGUCUAUCUGUGUGUGUGUGUGUGUGUGUGUGUGUGUGUGUGUGUGUGUGUGUGUG